GCUAACGUAGCUUAUAUAAAGCAGGUCAUUGAAAAUGACAAGAAAUACCCUCUCACGGUUUCGAUGGCA
RNAcentral lists this transfer RNA (69 nucleotides) under Batrachomoeus trispinosus (three-spined frogfish). RNAcentral describes it as "tRNA-Phe". The record is from RNAcentral. Lineage: Eukaryota; Metazoa; Chordata; Actinopteri; Batrachoidiformes; Batrachoididae.